GGAGAUCUCAGGCAGCCGUCCCAUGGAGGCCGAGUUCCAGGUUCCAGGUCGGAAUUGUUUACCUGGUUGCCAUGGAGACCAGGGGUUUGAAGGGACCUCACGUCAGUUGGCCCUGCCAUUGCCUUCCUGGACGCCAAGAUGGGCAGAGGGCUCUCCAGGCAGCUCCAGCAGGGGCCGCCCCCCACAGAGGACGCUCCAGCCCAGGACCCUCCGCGCGCCCCCCUCAGGACGGCCUCACACACGUCAUGGUUCAGGAAGGUCAGGACGAGGCACCCACAUCGCCGCGUGGGCCCCGAAAACACAGAGGAUGUUCCUGUGGCUCCUCCAAGGUAAGCCCUGGGCCCCCAAU
Anolis sagrei ordinatus is the source of this 349-nucleotide non-coding RNA. NCBI's taxonomy places the organism in Eukaryota, Metazoa, Chordata, Lepidosauria, Squamata, Anolidae. The record is from RefSeq and is a predicted model, not a curated record.